UACAGAGGUCUCAAGCGUUGUUCGGAUUCAUUGGGCGUAAAGGGUGCGUAGGCGGCGCGGUAAGUCGGGUGUGAAAUCCCGGGGCUCAACCCCGGAACUGCAUUCGAUACAGGCAGGCUAGAGACCGGAAGAGGUGGGUGGAAUACCCAGUGUAGAGGUGAAAUUCGUAGAUAUUGGGUGGAACACCGGUGGCGAAGGCGGCUCACUGGUCCGGUUCUGACGCUGAGGCGCGAAAGCGUGGGGAGCAAACAGG
RNAcentral lists this ribosomal RNA (253 nucleotides) under uncultured bacterium. Its description in RNAcentral is "partial 16S ribosomal RNA". It matches the Rfam family "Bacterial small subunit ribosomal RNA", at positions 524 to 776 of the family's 1533-position model. The record is from RNAcentral.